AUUGAACGCUGGCGGCAUGCUUUACACAUGCAAGUCGAACGGUAACAGGCCUUCGGGUGCUGACGAGUGGCGAACGGGGGAGUAAUGCAUCGGAACGUACCCAGAGGUGGGGGAUAACGCAGCGAAAGCUGUGCUAAUACCGCAUGUGAUCUGAGGAUGAAAGCGGGGGACCGAGCAGCAAUGUUUGGCCUCGCGCCUUUGGAGCGGCCGAUGUCGGAUUAGCUAGUUGGUGGGGUAAAGGCCUACCAAGGCGACGAUCCGUAGCUGGUCUGAGAGGACGACCGGCCACACUGGGACUGAGACACGGCCCAGACUCCUACGGGAGGCAGCAGUGGGGAAUUUUGGACAAUGGGCGCAAGCCUGAUCCAGCAAUGCCGCGUGCGGGAAGAAGGCCUUCGGGUUGUAAACCGCUUUUGGCAGGAACGAAACGGUGUCCGCUAAUACCGGGCGCUAAUGACGGUACCUGCAGAAUAAGCACCGGCUAACUACGUG
This 492-nucleotide ribosomal RNA is filed under the name uncultured bacterium. RNAcentral describes it as "partial 16S ribosomal RNA". It matches the Rfam family "Bacterial small subunit ribosomal RNA", at positions 29 to 507 of the family's 1533-position model. The record is from RNAcentral.